ACUCCUACGGGAGGCAGCAGUGGGGAAUAUUGCACAAUGGGGGAAACCCUGAUGCAGCCAUGCCGCGUGUGUGAAGAAGGCCUUCGGGUUGUAAAGCACUUUCAGUAGGGAGGAAGGUAGUGUAGUUAACACCUGCACUAUUUGACGUUACCUACAGAAGAAGCACCGGCUAACUCCGUGCCAGCAGCCGCGGUAAUACGGAGGGUCCAAGCGUUAUCCGGAAUCACUGGGUUUAAAGGGUGCGUAGGCGGAUAACUAAGUCUAAGGUGAAAGUCUGUGGCUUAACUAUAGAAUUGCCUUGGAUACUGGUUAUCUUGAAUUGGGUUGAGGAUGGCGGAAUGUGACAUGUAGCGGUGAAAUGCAUAGAUAUGUCAUAGAACACCGAUUGCGAAGGCAGCCAUCUGGGCCUUGAUUGACGCUGAGGCACGAAAGCGUGGGGAGCGAACAGGAUUAGAUACCCUGGUAGGAUAG
Molecule: ribosomal RNA, 471 nt
Filed under: uncultured bacterium
Lineage: Bacteria
Description: bacterial SSU rRNA
Rfam family: Bacterial small subunit ribosomal RNA
Source: RNAcentral